Molecule: ribosomal RNA, 511 nt
Filed under: uncultured bacterium
Lineage: Bacteria
Description: partial 16S ribosomal RNA
Rfam family: Bacterial small subunit ribosomal RNA
Source: RNAcentral
GACGAACGCUGGCGGCGUGCCUAAUACGUGCAAGUCGAGCGAAUCACGAGGUGCUUGCGCCUCUUGGUUAGCGGCGGACGGGUGAGUAACACGUGGGCAACCUGCCUGUAAGACUGGGAUAACUUCGGGAAACCGGAGCUAAUACCGGAUAAUCCUUUUCCUCUCAUGAGGAAAAGCUGAAAGUCGGUUUCGGCUGACACUUACGGAUGGGCCCGCGGCGCAUUAGCUAGUUGGUGAGGUAACGGCUCACCAAGGCGACGAUGCGUAGCCGACCGGAGAGGGUGAUCGGCCACACUGGGACUGAGACACGGCCCAGACUCCUACGGGAGGCAGCAGUAGGGAAUCUUCCGCAAUGGACGAAAGUCUGACGGAGCAACGCCGCGUGAGCGAUGAGGCCUUCGGGUCGUAAAGCUCUGUUGUUAGGGAAGAACAAGUAUCGGAGUAACUGCCGGUACCUUGACGGUACCUAACCAGAAAGCCACGGCUAACCACGUGCCAGCCGCCGCCGUAA